This 323-nucleotide long non-coding RNA is filed under the name Vigna radiata. RNAcentral describes it as "long non-coding RNA (VRAD_LNC016466)". Lineage: Eukaryota; Viridiplantae; Streptophyta; Magnoliopsida; Fabales; Fabaceae. The record is from RNAcentral.
UCUUUUUCUUUUUACAAAACAAACCUAAAUAUGAAAAUACUUGUCUUGUCUCCACUUGUGUACAUCCUCACAAUUAUGAAUAUGGUCACAAAAUCAUGAUUUGAUAUGAAAUUGAUAAGUACUAUAUUGGCAAUCAAUAGGAUAGCAUAGACAUAGACUUGAGCAUCCAAUCUACAUAUUCCACUAAUCUUCACACCACCUACCUCAUUAUAUUCAAUAAUGUUCUCUUUAUAUACACACACCCCUUUUCUAAUUAUGCUCCAUCAUAACAAAAUAUUUCAACCCAAAUACACAAAAUUAUUCUUCCAAAUUCAAAUAAUCUA